This 482-nucleotide unclassified non-coding RNA is filed under the name Hevea brasiliensis (rubber tree). Lineage: Eukaryota; Viridiplantae; Streptophyta; Magnoliopsida; Malpighiales; Euphorbiaceae. The record is from RNAcentral.
UAUCUGCAUUUGCACCUGCACCUUCUCUCUAUUAAACCUUAUAAGCUUGCUACUUGUUUGGGAUACAAAGAGAAAGGUGCAGGUGCUAUAUGCAGACAAAUGCCUUCUCGGUUUUCUCUCUUCUUUCUUGGCCUCUUGUCUCUUUUACUCGCUAUAUAUGGAAGCUGAAGGAGCUUCAUGGAUCUACUGAGUUCAAGUCUACCCAGCUUCUGAUAUCAUAUCCUAUUGUUUUACAGAUUUCUAAUUGCUUCCCAAUACCAGCAAGAAGAAAAGGGUACUGGCUGUUGAUGCUUAUCGUUACUUAAUUUCCCAUCAUAAGUAAGGGAUAUAUAUUUUAAAAUAUAAUUAGAAAAUUGUAUAAAUUGAUUUAAAAUUAAAAUUUAUUUAGUUACAAGAAUUUUAAAAUAAUUAAUAUUUAAAAAAAUAUAUUUUUAAUCUUUUAACUUUAUAAAUAAUAAUUUAUAGCUUAUAAAUUAUUAUAG